UGGUUCUGGCAUCGAUGAAGAACGCAGCGAAAUGCGAUACGUAAUGUGAAUUGCAGAAUUUAGUGAAUCAUCGAAUCUUUGAACGCACAUUGCGCUCCCCAGUAUUCUGGAGAGCAUGCCUGUUCGAGCGUCAUUUCAACCCUCAAGUCUUAGUUACUUGGUGUUGGGGCCCGCUGUGGCGAGCCCCCAAACCCUUUGGCAGAGCUGGUUAGCAGUCUGAGCGUAGUAAAUCAACCUCGCUUCUGAAGGCCUCCAGCCCCUAGCCGUAAAAACUCACCAAUAUCAAAGUUUGACCUCGGAUCAGGUAGGAAUACCCGCUGA
Molecule: unclassified non-coding RNA, 321 nt
Filed under: uncultured fungus
Lineage: Eukaryota; Fungi
Description: partial contains 5.8S ribosomal RNA and internal transcribed spacer 2
Rfam family: 5.8S ribosomal RNA (bases 1-133)
Source: RNAcentral